UACGGAGGGUGCAAGCGUUGUCCGGAAUCACUGGGCGUAAAGGGCGCGUAGGUGGCCUGUGGAAGUCUGCGGUGAAAGCCCGGCGCUCAACGCCGGGUCGGCCGUGGAUACUCUCGGGCUUGAGCUUACUAGAGGCAGAUGGAAUUCCGGGUGUAGCGGUGGAAUGCGUAGAGAUCCGGAAGAACACCGGUGGCGAAGGCGGUCUGCUGGGGUAAUGCUGACACUGAGGCGCGACAGCGUGGGGAGCAAACAGG
RNAcentral lists this ribosomal RNA (254 nucleotides) under uncultured bacterium. RNAcentral describes it as "partial 16S ribosomal RNA". It matches the Rfam family "Bacterial small subunit ribosomal RNA", at positions 524 to 776 of the family's 1533-position model. The record is from RNAcentral.